This 290-nucleotide unclassified non-coding RNA is filed under the name Hevea brasiliensis (rubber tree). The record is from RNAcentral. Lineage: Eukaryota; Viridiplantae; Streptophyta; Magnoliopsida; Malpighiales; Euphorbiaceae.
GAAUUUCAGUGCUGGUUGUGAAACAGCAGUGUCGAACAUAGUGAUGGCUAUAACAGUGCUAAUAUCACUUGAAUUUUGCACUAGGCUAUUGUACUUCACUCCAGUAGCCAUAUUAGCUUCUAUUAUUCUGUCUGCUUUGCCUGGACUCAUCAACAUAAGUGAAGCAAAAUACAUAUGGAAAAUUGAUAAGAUGGAUUUUCUUGCUUGUGCUGCUGCUUUUCUUGGUGUUCUUUUUGUAUCUGUUGAGAUUGGCCUUCUACUUGCGGUUGGUAUAUCAUUUGCAAAGAUAA